Molecule: ribosomal RNA, 547 nt
Filed under: uncultured bacterium
Lineage: Bacteria
Description: partial 16S ribosomal RNA
Rfam family: Bacterial small subunit ribosomal RNA
Source: RNAcentral
UAGGGAAUCUUCGGCAAUGGACGAAAGUCUGACCGAGCAACGCCGCGUGAGUGAAGAAGGUUUUCGGAUCGUAAAACUCUGUUGGUAGAGAAGAACGUCGGUGAGAGUGGAAAGCUCAUCAAGUGACGGUAACUACCCAGAAAGGGACGGCUAACUACGUGCCAGCAGACCGCGUAAUACGUAGGUCCCGAGCGUUGUCCGGAUUUAUUGGGCGUAAAGCGAGCGCAGGUGGUUUAUUAAGUCUGGUGUAAAAGGCAGUGGCUCAACCAUUGUAUGCAUUGGAAACUGGUAGACUUGAGUGCAGGAGAGGAGAGUGGAAUUCCAUGUGUAGCGGUGAAAUGCGUAGAUAUAUGGAGGAACACCGGUGGCGAAAGCGGCUCUCUGGCCUGUAACUGACACUGAGGCUCGAAAGCGUGGGGAGCAAACAGGAUUAGAUACCCUGGUAGUCCACGCCGUAAACGAUGAGUGCUAGAUGUAGGGAGCUAUAAGUUCUCUGUAUCGCAGCUAACGCAAUAAGCACUCGCUGGGGAGUACGACCGCAAGGUUG